Molecule: ribosomal RNA, 877 nt
Filed under: metagenome
Description: bacterial SSU rRNA
Rfam family: Bacterial small subunit ribosomal RNA
Source: RNAcentral
GUUGGUGAGGUAACGGCUCACCAAGGCGACGAUGGGUAGGGGAACUGAGAGGUUGAACCCCCACACUGGUACUGAGACACGGACCAGACUCCUACGGGAGGCAGCAGUGAGGAAUAUUGGUCAAUGGGCGAGAGCCUGAACCAGCCAAGUCGCGUGAAGGAUGACUGUCUUAUGGAUUGUAAACUUCUUUUAUACGGGAAUAACAAGAGUCACGUGUGGCUCCCUGCAUGUACCGUAUGAAUAAGCAUCGGCUAACUCCGUGCCAGCAGCCGCGGUAAUACGGAGGAUGCGAGCGUUAUCCGGAUUUAUUGGGUUUAAAGGGUGCGUAGGCGGCCUGUUAAGUCAGCGGUGAAAUCUAGGAGCUUAACUCCUAAAUUGCCAUUGAUACUGGCGGGCUUGAGUGUAGAUGAGGUAGGCGGAAUGCGUGGUGUAGCGGUGGAAUGCAUAGAUAUCACGCAGAACUCCGAUUGCGAAGGCAGCUUACUAAGGUACAACUGACGCUGAAGCACGAAAGCGUGGGUAUCAAACAGGAUUAGAUACCCUGGUAGUCCACGCAGUAAACGAUGAUAACUGGGCGUAUGCGAUAUACAGUAUGCUCCUAAGCGAAAGCGUUAAGUUAUCCACCUGGGGAGUACGCCGGCAACGGUGAAACUCAAAGGAAUUGACGGGGGCCCGCACAAGCGGAGGAACAUGUGGUUUAAUUCGAUGAUACGCGAGGAACCUUACCCGGGAUUGAAAUGUAGAUGACCGCUCCUGAAAGGGAGUUUUCCUUCGGGACAUCUAUGUAGGUGCUGCAUGGUUGUCGUCAGCUCGUGCCGUGAGGUGUCGGCUUAAGUGCCAUAACGAGCGCAACCCCUGUCUACGGUUGCCAUCAGGU